AAACAGGUUUACUCCAAACCCCUGUGAACAUACCAAUUGUUGCCUCGGCGGAUCAGCCCGCUCCCGGUAAAACGGGAGGCCCGCCAGAGGACCCCUAAACUCUGUUUCUAUAUGUAACUUCUGAGUAAAACCAUAAAUAAAUCAAAACUUUCAACAACGGAUCUCUUGGUUCUGGCAUCGAUGAAGAACCGCAACAAAAUGCGAUAAGUAAUGUGAAUUGCAGAAUUCAGUGAAUCAUCGAAUCUUUGAACGCACAUUUGCGCCCGCCCAGUAUUCUGGCGGGCAUGCCUGUUCGAAGCGUCAUUUCAACCCUCAAAGCCCCUCGGGUUUGGUGUUGGGGAUCGGCGAGCCCUUGCGGCAAGCCGGCCCCGAAAUCUAGUGGCGGUCUCGCUGCAGCUUCCAUUGCGUAGUAGUAAAACCCUCGCAACUGGAACGCGGCGCGGCCAAGCCGUUAAACCCCCAACUUCUGAAUGUUGACCUCGGAUCAGGUAGGAAUACCCGCUGAACUUAAGCAUAUCAAUAAGGCGGGAGGAAA
RNAcentral lists this ribosomal RNA (535 nucleotides) under Colletotrichum gloeosporioides. RNAcentral describes it as "eukaryotic LSU rRNA". The stretch from base 146 to 303 matches the Rfam family "5.8S ribosomal RNA". The record is from RNAcentral. Lineage: Eukaryota; Fungi; Ascomycota; Sordariomycetes; Glomerellales; Glomerellaceae.